UACGGAGGGUGCAAACGUUGCUCGGAAUCAUUGGGCGUAAAGCGCACGUAGGCGGCCUGAUAAGUCGGGUGUGAAAUCCCUGGGCUCAACCCAGGAACUGCACUCGAAACUUCUUUUCUUGAGUGCCGGAGAGGAAAGCGGAAUUCCUGGUGUAGAGGUGAAAUUCGUAGAUAUCAGGAGGAACACCAGUGGCGAAGGCGGCUUUCUGGACGGUAACUGACGCUGAGA
RNAcentral lists this ribosomal RNA (228 nucleotides) under uncultured bacterium. Its description in RNAcentral is "partial 16S ribosomal RNA". It matches the Rfam family "Bacterial small subunit ribosomal RNA", at positions 524 to 751 of the family's 1533-position model. The record is from RNAcentral.